UACGUAGGGUGCAAGCGUUGUCCGGAAUUAUUGGGCGUAAAGAGCUCGUAGGCGGUUUGUUGCGUCGGCUGUGAAAUCCCGAGGCUCAACCUCGGGUCUGCAGUCGAUACGAGCAAACUAGAGUGUUGCAGGGGAGACUGGAAUUCCUGGUGUAGCGGUGAAAUGCGCAGACAUCAGGAGGAACACCGGUGGCGAAGGCGGGUCUCUGGGCAACAACUGACGCUGAGGAGCGAAAGCGUGGGGAGCGAACAGG
Molecule: ribosomal RNA, 253 nt
Filed under: uncultured bacterium
Lineage: Bacteria
Description: partial 16S ribosomal RNA
Rfam family: Bacterial small subunit ribosomal RNA
Source: RNAcentral